GAUGAACGCUGGCGGCGUGCCUAAUACAUGCAAGUCGAGCGAACAGACGAGGAGCUUGCUCCUCUGACGUUAGCGGCGGACGGGUGAGUAACACGUGGAUAACCUACCUAUAAGACUGGGAUAACUUCGGGAAACCGGAGCUAAUACCGGAUAAUAUAUUGAACCGCAUGGUUCAAUAGUGAAAGACGGUUUUGCUGUCACUUAUAGAUGGAUCCGCGCCGCAUUAGCUAGUUGGUAAGGUAACGGCUUACCAAGGCAACGAUGCGUAGCCGACCUGAGAGGGUGAUCGGCCACACUGGAACUGAGACACGGUCCAGACUCCUACGGGAGGCAACAGUAGGGAAUCUUCCGCAAUGGGCGAAAGCUUGACGGAGCAACGCCGCGUGAGUGAUGAAGGUCUUCGGAUCGUAAAACUCUGUUAUUAGGGAAGAACAAAUGUGUAAGUAACUAUGCACGUCUUGACGGUACCUAAUCAGAAAGCCACGGCUAACUACGUG
Molecule: ribosomal RNA, 497 nt
Filed under: uncultured bacterium
Lineage: Bacteria
Description: partial 16S ribosomal RNA
Rfam family: Bacterial small subunit ribosomal RNA
Source: RNAcentral